This 318-nucleotide ribosomal RNA is filed under the name uncultured Lactobacillus sp. Its description in RNAcentral is "bacterial SSU rRNA". It matches the Rfam family "Bacterial small subunit ribosomal RNA", at positions 226 to 525 of the family's 1533-position model. Lineage: Bacteria; Bacillati; Bacillota; Bacilli; Lactobacillales; Lactobacillaceae. The record is from RNAcentral.
UGGACCUGCGGUGCAUUAGCUAGGUUGGUAGGGUAACGGGCCUACCAAGGCGAUGAUGCAUAGCCCGAGUUGAGAGACUGAUCGGGCCACAUUGGGGACUGAGACACGGGCCCAAACUCCUACGGGAGGCAGCAGUAGGGAAUCUUCCACAAUGGACGCAAGUCUGAUGGAGCAAACGCCGCGUGAGUGAAGAAGGGUUUUCGGCUCGUAAAAAGCUCUGUUGUUGGUGAAGAAGGACAGGGUAGUAACUGACCCUUUGUUUGACGGUAAUCAAUUAGAAAGUCACGGGCUAACUACGUGCCAGCAGCCGCGGUAAAU